CCAACAUGGAUACCCUUGGAGGUCACUCUAUCCAGGCUUUGUCCAAGUGGUAUAGGGGGUCAUAAGGCUUUGCCCCAUGAUAUACAGUUCCUUUCCACAACAUUGGAGAUGAAGCUGGGCCUUGAGUCUGCACUUGCAUAUUCCUACACUUUCCGGAGUCCUAUGGACAAUGACUGGGGAGAUAAACCAUGCAGGAAACAGCC
Molecule: small nucleolar RNA, 203 nt
Organism: Nycticebus coucang (slow loris)
Lineage: Eukaryota; Metazoa; Chordata; Mammalia; Primates; Lorisidae
Product: small nucleolar RNA SNORA73 family
Exons: 1
Source: RefSeq, a predicted model, not a curated record